Cherax quadricarinatus is the source of this 1710-nucleotide non-coding RNA. NCBI's taxonomy places the organism in Eukaryota, Metazoa, Arthropoda, Malacostraca, Decapoda, Parastacidae. The record is from RefSeq and is a predicted model, not a curated record.
UGGUGAAGGAACCUAUACCUGGCCACACCUUGAAAGCUAGAUUUACGGGACCUAUGCAAAUUGUAAGUAAAUCAUCUGAUGUAAAUUAUGUGGUAUCUCCCCUUGAUAAGACCUCAAAAAACUAAAAACUUACCACAUUAAUCAAUUAAAAUCUUUUCAUACACCAGAUAAAGUCCCAGUAAUGACUCUGUCCUCUUCCUCUGAGGAUGACUCUGACUCUUUGCACUCUAUUUCUGAAAUUAAUGUUAAACUUCCAAACUCUGUCCUCCUCAAGGACCCUAGCCCUUUAAUGGUGGGGCUGUCUGAAACUCAAGCAACAAGUUUAACUGCGCUUCUACAGUCAUACCCUGAUAUUUUUUCGGAUGUGCCGAAAAAAUGUACAUUAGGUUAUCAUGAUGUAGAUGUGGGAAACUCUAAACCUAUUAAAUUCUCCCCCUACAGAGCUAAUCCUGAAAAGCAGAGACUACUUCAGCAGGAAGUAGAAUUUCUGUUAGAGCAUGGUUUAGUGGAGGAGGAGUCUAGUCCAUGGGCUUCACCAUGCAUCCUUGUUAAAAAAAGCUGAUGGAGGGUUUCGUAUGUGUACAGACUACCGUAAGGUGAAUGAGGUCACACAGAUGCUUACCCUCUUCCUCGUCUGGAUGACGUAAUCGACUUUGUGGGUUGAUGCUUGUGAGUCUGGGGUUGGGGCAGUACUGUUGCAAAACGGGGCCAAGGAGUUGCAGCCUGUAGCCUUUUUUUCAGCCAAGUUCCAGCAGCAUCAGAGGGCUUACUCUACCAUUGAAAAAGAAGCCCUCGCGCUGGUACUGGCUCUGGAGCACUUUGAUGUAUACGUGGGACAAACUUCGCAGGUGCUCACUGUCUACAGUGAUCACAGUUCUCUAGUAUAUCUCCAAACCAUGAAGAACCACAACACAAGGCUCAUGUGAUGGACGAUAAGACUGCAACCAUAUUUUCUGAGAAUUGUACAUAUUGCCGGCAAAGAAAAUAUGUUGGCAGACUCUUUAUCAAGAGUUGAACAAUAUUAUUUAUAAUAAUUAUAUAUUAGGUUAGGAUGUGUUAGGUUACUUGUGGUAACCCCUUCCAAGCUCUUUUUUUUUUUAUCCCCUGGUGUGGGUUUUUUUUUUUACUGAGGGGAUGUGGGCUACCGUCCUCCCAUGUCUUGGACCUAAGCUAGCCCGACUGUCUGCUGUCUCGCUCUGAGUUUAGGGUUUGGCUUUUUAUCACGAGAAAAGCCGAGCUCUAUCUAAGAGUUGGAUGGUUGAGAGGAAAGGCGGUCCCAUUAUUUUGUGCCAUGGCGGCACGGUUACCACUGGGAGGUGGGAGCCUAAUCCUGAGCCUUCUCGGGAUGGAGGUGUGGCAUGCAAAGAGUACAUAACCUUUAUUCGGCACAUGUACACACCCUCAUUUACAGGCUAUCUCCCCCAACCAGUGAACCAGGUGACUGAGGGUUGACGAUGGGGCCCCAUCGUUCAACCAGUACCCAGGUUCCAGCCAAUGAGAAGAUGGUUUUGGCAAUUGCAGAGGUUAUGUGGGUACCACUCUCCUGUCUGCCCUUGUCAUUCCCAUUCUAGAGCUGGUUGAAGCACGGUCUGCUCUCUAGUGGCUUCUAUUCUGCCUUGCUUACCGUGGAGCGCACUAAUACCUAUCACUGUACAUAGUGUACAUACUUCUGUUCUAAAUUGGUGAAGGAUAAUACAAGUCAAAAGUUUU